CACGUGAGUAACCUGCCCUUGACUUUGGGAUAACUUCAGGAAACUGGGGCUAAUACCGGAUAGGAGCUCCUGCUGCAUGGUGGGGUGGAAAGUUUACGGCGGUUGGGGAGUGGACUCGCGGCUUAUCAGCUUGUUGGUGGGGUAGGUGGCUUACCAAGGCUUUGUACGGGUAGCCGGCCUGAGAGGGUGACCGGCCACAUUGGGACUGAGAUACGGCCCAGACUCCUACGGGAGGCAGCAGUGGGGAAUAUUGCACAAUGGGCGAAAGCCUGAUGCAGCCAUGCCGCGUGUGUGAAGAAG
RNAcentral lists this ribosomal RNA (300 nucleotides) under uncultured Propionibacterium sp. RNAcentral's name for it is "bacterial SSU rRNA". It matches the Rfam family "Bacterial small subunit ribosomal RNA", at positions 114 to 413 of the family's 1533-position model. Lineage: Bacteria; Bacillati; Actinomycetota; Actinomycetes; Propionibacteriales; Propionibacteriaceae. The record is from RNAcentral.